UGGGGAAUAUUGCACAAUGGGCGGAAGCCUGAUGCAGCAACGCCGCGUGCGGGAUGACGGCCUUCGGGUUGUAAACCGCUUUCGCCUGUGACGAAGCGUGAGUGACGGUAAUGGGUAAAGAAGCACCGGCUAACUACGUGCCAGCAGCCGCGGUGAUACGUAGGGUGCGAGCGUUGUCCGGAUUUAGUGGGCGUAAAGGGCUCGUAGGUGGUUGAUCGCGUCGGAAGUGUAAUCUUGGGGCUUAACCCUGAGCGUGCUUUCGAUACGGGUUGACUUGAGGAAGGUAGGGGAGAUUGGAAUUCCUGGUGGAGCAGUGGAAUGCGCAGAUAUCAGGAGGAACACCAGUGGCGAAGGCGGUUCUCUGGGCCUUUCCUGACGCUGAGGAGCGAAAGCGUGGGGAGCGAACAGG
This 409-nucleotide ribosomal RNA is filed under the name Bacillota bacterium. Its description in RNAcentral is "Firmicutes bacterium partial 16S ribosomal RNA". It matches the Rfam family "Bacterial small subunit ribosomal RNA", at positions 355 to 776 of the family's 1533-position model. Lineage: Bacteria; Bacillati; Bacillota. The record is from RNAcentral.